This 64-nucleotide transfer RNA is filed under the name Ophiarachnella infernalis. RNAcentral describes it as "tRNA-Glu". Lineage: Eukaryota; Metazoa; Echinodermata; Ophiuroidea; Amphilepidida; Ophiodermatidae. The record is from RNAcentral.
ACUUUUAUAGUUUAAUAUAGAACAGGAGAUUUUCUAUCUUCAAGUCUCCUCAGGAGUAAAAGUA